GCUUAGAGUUUGAUCCUGGCUCAGGAUGAACGCUGGCGGCGUGCCUAAUACAUGCAAGUCGAACGGGAAUCCCUGAUUUCGGUUAGGGAGGAGAGUGGCGCACGGGUGAGUAACACGUAGCUGACCUACCCUUCGCAGGGGGAUAACUUGCCGAAAGGCGAGCUAAUACCGCGUAGACUCCAAGGGGUUAGAGACCCUGGGAGGAAAGCGAUGGCAGCGGCGAAGGCAGGGGCUGCGGCCCAUCAGCUAGUUGGUGAGGUAACGGCUCACCAAGGCGGUGACGGGUAGGGGGCCUGAGAGGGUGACCCCCCACACUGGGACUGAGACACGGCCCAGACUCCUACGGGAGGCAGCAGUAAGGAAUAUUGCCCAAUGGGUGCCAACCUGAGGCAGCAACGCCGCGUGGAGGAGGAAGGGUUUCGGCUCGUAAACUCCUUUUCUGAGGGAAGAGGAAGGACGGUACCUCAGGAAGAAGUCUCGGCUAACUACGUGCCAGCAGCCGCGGUAAAACGUAGGAGGCGAGCGUUAUCCGGAUUUACUGGGCGUAAAGCGCGUGCAGGCGGUUAGACAAGUCAGGCGUGAAAGCUCCCGGCUCAACUGGGAGAGGACGUCUGAAACUGUGUAACUUGAGAGAGGUAGAGGCUUACGGAAAUU
RNAcentral lists this ribosomal RNA (654 nucleotides) under uncultured bacterium. RNAcentral describes it as "bacterial SSU rRNA". It matches the Rfam family "Bacterial small subunit ribosomal RNA", at positions 1 to 669 of the family's 1533-position model. The record is from RNAcentral.